CAGCCGCCGCGGGAAUACGUAGGGUGCGAGCGUUAAUCGGAAUUGCUGGGCGUAAAGCGUGCGCAGGCGGUUUUGUAAGACAGGCGUGAAAUCCCCGGGCUCAACCUGGGAAUGGCGCUUGUGACUGCAAAGCUAGAGUGCGGCAGAGGGGGAUGGAAUUCCGCGUGUAGCAGUGAAAUGCGUAGAUAUGCGGAGGAACACCGAUGGCGAAGGCAAUCCCCUGGACCUGUACUGACGCUCAUGCACGAAAGCGUGGGGAGCAAACAGGAUUAGAUACCCCCGUAGUCCCUGUCUCUUAUAU
RNAcentral lists this ribosomal RNA (301 nucleotides) under uncultured bacterium. RNAcentral describes it as "partial 16S ribosomal RNA". It matches the Rfam family "Bacterial small subunit ribosomal RNA", at positions 509 to 809 of the family's 1533-position model. The record is from RNAcentral.